Molecule: ribosomal RNA, 1369 nt
Filed under: uncultured bacterium
Lineage: Bacteria
Description: bacterial SSU rRNA
Rfam family: Bacterial small subunit ribosomal RNA
Source: RNAcentral
GACGAACGCUGGCGGCGUGCCUAAUACAUGCAAGUAGAACGCUGAAGAGAGGAGCUUGCUCUUCUUGGAUGAGUUGCGAACGGGUGAGUAACGCGUAGGUAACCUGCCUUGUAGCGGGGGAUAACUAUUGGAAACGAUAGCUAAUACCGCAUAACAAUGGAUGACACAUGUCAUUUAUUUGAAAGGGGCAAUUGCUCCACUACAAGAUGGACCUGCGUUGUAUUAGCUAGUAGGUGAGGUAAUGGCUCACCUAGGCGACGAUACAUAGCCGACCUGAGAGGGUGAUCGGCCACACUGGGACUGAGACACGGCCCAGACUCCUACGGGAGGCAGCAGUAGGGAAUCUUCGGCAAUGGGGGCAACCCUGACCGAGCAACGCCGCGUGAGUGAAGAAGGUUUUCGGAUCGUAAAGCUCUGUUGUAAGUCAAGAACGGGUGUGAGAGUGGAAAGUUCACACUGUGACGGUAGCUUACCAGAAAGGGACGGCUAACUACGUGCCAGCAGCCGCGGUAAUACGUAGGUCCCGAGCGUUGUCCGGAUUUAUUGGGCGUAAAGCGAGCGCAGGCGGUUUGAUAAGUCUGAAGUUAAAGGCUGUGGCUCAACCAUAGUUCGCUUUGGAAACUGUCAAACUUGAGUGCAGAAGGGGAGAGUGGAAUUCCAUGUGUAGCGGUGAAAUGCGUAGAUAUAUGGAGGAACACCGGUGGCGAAAGCGGCUCUCUGGUCUGUAACUGACGCUGAGGCUCGAAAGCGUGGGGAGCGAACAGGAUUAGAUACCCUGGUAGUCCACGCCGUAAACGAUGAGUGCUAGGUGUUGGAUCCUUUCCGGGAUUCAGUGCCGCAGCUAACGCAUUAAGCACUCCGCCUGGGGAGUACGACCGCAAGGUUGAAACUCAAAGGAAUUGACGGGGGCCCGCACAAGCGGUGGAGCAUGUGGUUUAACUCGAAGCAACGCGAAGAACCUUACCAGGUCUUGACAUCCCGAUGCUAUUUCUAGAGAUAGAAAGUUACUUCGGUACAUCGGUGACAGGUGGUGCAUGGUUGUCGUCAGCUCGUGUCGUGAGAUGUUGGGUUAAGUCCCGCAACGAGCGCAACCCCUAUUGUUAGUUGCCAUCAUUCAGUUGGGCACUCUAGCGAGACUGCCGGUAAUAAACCGGAGGAAGGUGGGGAUGACGUCAAAUCAUCAUGCCCCUUAUGACCUGGGCUACACACGUGCUACAAUGGUUGGUACAACGAGCUGCGAGUCGGUGACGGCGAGCUAAUCUCUUAAAGCCAAUCUCAGUUCGGAUUGUAGGCUGCAACUCGCCUACAUGAAGUCGGAAUCGCUAGUAAUCGCGGAUCAGCACGCCGCGGUGAAUACGUUCCCGGGCCU